Molecule: long non-coding RNA, 7455 nt
Organism: Orcinus orca (killer whale)
Lineage: Eukaryota; Metazoa; Chordata; Mammalia; Artiodactyla; Delphinidae
Exons: 3
Source: RefSeq, a predicted model, not a curated record
GGCGAUGCGCCGCCCCGGCCGAGGCGCCGGGCCCGGGAUGCCGGGCCGGGACGCGGAGGUCACUGCGAGUUAAAGGCGCGCGGCCACAUUGCGGAGAACCCCCGACCGCGCUGCGCUGCGGCCGUUUUGUCAGCUUGGCUUCUCGUUUGGGUUUCCAAUAACGCUUAGGUGUUGUAAACAACAAAAAUAAACCUGAUUCUUCUUACGUCUUUGCGCUUUUUUCCAUUUGUGACGAUGCAACGUUCAAAAUCAUGUUUUAUGCUGUUCUACAUAUUCUCAGGUGCCGAGGUACAGAGACAGGGAUAUGAAACCUUUAUGAACCUAUGAUCUUUCCAGGUUGAUACUGCAACCCCCCCCCCCAAAAAACCGCACUGGGUUCUAAAUGGUUAAGAUUCAGGAGUUUUAGCACAAUUUGGUGCUUUUCCAAGGCUUUAAUUCUUUGCGGAGGGGGGGGGGCAGGUUCUCGAAGAACGACACAGAGGGGGGCGAGGUUUCAGCAACAAACAUGAUAGAACCUAGAACUUCCAUUCAAUAUCUAAGGGCUGCCCUCUGUAACCUGGGGCCAGUGUAACUGAUCUAUCUCCCGGGAACCCGGGGGUAAACAAACAAAAAUCACUAAGCAACUUGCAUUUACACUAAUCAAAAUUUAUUACUUAUUAAUACAAAAUGUAUUACCGUAAACCAGUUAGCUAAUAUUCAAUGAUAUUUUUUAAAAGUUAGAAAAGGACAGUCUCCCAAAAGGCACAUUUUGCUAAAUUGUCUUCUUUACUGUAAGAGGACUGCUAAGAACAGAAAGCCUCCAGCUUUAGAAGCUAAAGAAGACUAAAUGUGUAGAGAACCAUAAAGGUAAUAAAAAAUAAUUGUAUUAAUGAACGCAUGAGAUAUUGACAUUUAGAUAUCUCAAUCCAAUUCAACAACUACCCUACAUCCCAUGAGCCAGAAGUGGUUAUAUGAAUGAUUAUAACGGUUACGACUGAAGGCUAAUGGUGAUUGCUGUGACAACUGUGAUACUUAUUCAUUUAGCAAAUGAUUUUUGACUGUCUAGUAUAUGCUGUGAUGGAUGCCGGGCAAACAGAACAACACACAUGGCCCCACGUAACUUAUGGUCUAGGUAGUAAGCAAAUAAAUGCACGGAUUGUGUUAAGGUCUACAAAGAAGAAUCACCUCCAUGAAAAAAUGACAGUUAAUCUGAGACCUACAGUAUGUGGAGUCAUCCAAGCAAAGAGUAGGGAGAGAGAUGUUUCAGAAACUGGGAACAGUGCAUGCAAAGGCCCUGAGGUGGGAAAGAAACUUGGCUUCUGUUGGAAGAAGUGAAAGAAGGCCAGUGUGGCUGGAAUUGGAGCAUAAGAGGAAGGCGUGUGAUGAGAUCACGGAUGAAGCCAAGAGCUGGAUCACGAAAGGACUUGCAGGCCACGUUAAGGGUUUUGUAUUCUAUUGUAUUAUGUGAGCCACUGAAGGGUUUUAAGCAAAGAAGCAAUGAUAGUUUCAGAAUUUCUAUAUAAAAGGGGCUUAGAAGAGGGAUUCUGUUUAGGGGAGGGGUCAUCCAGGACUUUUCCGGACUGUAAAUUUGAAUCGCACUUGACUUAAAACUGAGAAAAUAUUCAUUGUUCAUCUGAAGGAAUGGGGGUGGCUUGAUGGAUAUUCUGGGAGGAGAGCUACAGCUCCACUCAGCUGCCUCUGAAUGCUGGCCUUUGCAGAGCAGCGAUAUCACCCAGUGUCCAUACGCAACAGAAUGCUCUUGGAGCCAAAGCCAAAUAGCCAGACACAGAAGAACCAGGCGGUAAACAGGCUGGGUUGGCUUAAUCGAAUCAGAUAGGAAAGCAGGAGAGGUAGAGACAGUUAAGUAAUUUAUCCAUCCAAAUUAAGUGGCAACAUCAAAAGAAGUUAUGAAGGUAAGACUUGAACCUAGCAAACAACAUACUGUGAAACCAACGCUAUGUAAAGAAAGUGGAAUCCCAUUAUUACAGCCACUGUUAAAAUCAGACUCAGUGUGUCCAUCUGUCCUAUGAAAAGAUUCACUCUGGUCAUACUCAACCUCUAGGUCCCUAGUCCUAGUUUCAAAUUGCUCAACCUACUUGAGACAGUCAAGUAUCUGGGUCUUGAACUGUCCAUCAAGUAAGCUCAGUUGUAUAAUCCCAGGUUUUCCUAGUAGGAAAGUUUAGAAUUAAAUAGUGAAAUGAUACAGCAAAUCACUUUCACAGUACUCGUAAUUUUUAAAUCAGGCUUAAUAAUUUGUACAUUUGGUAUUUACACAUCAGAUAGAGACACUAAUUAGACACACAUUUGCUUUGUGAUUCUAAUUCAGAUGUAUACAGUUGGCCCUUGAACAACCAGGUUAAUUCAAGUAUAAUUUAUAGCAGCCAUUCCAUCCACGGUUCCUCAGAUUCAAUCAACCACGGAUGGACCAUGUGGUAUUUACUAUUGAAAAAUACCCACGUGUAAGUGGAAAUGGGUAGUUCAAACCUGUGUCAUUCAAGGGUCAACUGUAAUUGAUUUUAGACUUGUAAUUUUAAGUUGAAAGGUAGAAGAAUUUUGACUUUGAUGCGCUCCUCAUUUAAAACCUUGGUUUAUUAGAUUUACAAGAGUUGAAUGAAUUUAAUAGUUACAAGUAUGUAAGCUCCAUGAAGGCAAGGAAUGUUUUCUGUUUUAUUCAUUGCAGUUCAUAGCUGUGUCCAGUGGCUCACAGUAACUGGCCCAGAUGUGAUGACUAAUGAAGCCUGAUUAAGUACUCUGAAGAAUCUGGUUUGAAAUUUUCCAUAACUGUGUUUCUAAAUGGGGCUAAUUAUUGAGUAAAAGGACUUUAGUCUUCAAUGUGAGUUGAUCAAAUGUUUUUCAAAGGCCCCUGAGAGUUACAGUUUUAAUUUUAUUAUUUUUAAAAUACCAAAUUUACAAACUGAAUGCAUUGAACCUAAAAACUGAAGGAAAUUUGAUUUUCCCAUUUGUAUCUCUAAUCAAGGAAAAUUGGAUAUUUUGAACUUGUAUCUCUGGUAUACUGAACAUUCAUUAAAGACCUAAAUAUAAGUGAUCUUUGCUGUGCACAGAAAGCCCCACUUUGGUAUGGUAAGAGAGCUAAGUCCGCAGAAAGGAAAUAGGUGUUUAUGUAUUUACGUACGUCUGUGAUAUAUGCAUCAAACUUUGUGAUUAAAAUAUUUGUUAAAUAAAAAUCAAAAUUCUGAGUCUGAUAGUCAUUUAUCUUGCUGCUGCGUCCUGAAACAUAAUUUGAAAAAGAUAUUAACAGUUUCAUUUGACAAAUGUGCUUUUAGUCAAAAAAAAAUACAUAUACACACCUUAAAAUUGGGCGGUUGCGUGGCCCAGGUUAAGAAGCUAAAUGGAAUCUGGAAAUGAAUGUGUCCCAAAAGGAUGAGGGCUUUUUCAGAAGCUUUCGAGCUGGAAGAUUGGGAGUAUUUCUUAUGUGACGCCAUAUAUACACUCAUAUAUUUGCAUGUAUGUACAUAUGCACAUUCAUAUGACCUGGGCCUUCAAAAGCAGCUAAUAAGGUAGCUGACCAUGUAUUUGGUAGAUACAUCUUUGUCCUCCUUUGCCCAGGCUCCAAACUGCUAGCUAUAAUUUUAUCAGAAAGCUUGAGCAUUUAUUGUCUUAGAAGAUGCUCUCUUCUUAUGUGGACCACCAGCGUGGUUGCCAAGGCAGUGGUCACGCUGCUGGCAUGAAGGUCUGCAGCUCCCAAUAAAUAAUGUGCUCUGGGGAACCCCUGUCCUGAGAUACAUUAACAAAUGUGACUUGGAAAGAGGGUUCCAUUAUAAAUUCAGAAGAUGUGCUGAAGUUACAACAGGCCUGCUGGACUUCUCAGAGCCUUUCAUGUGCAAACGCACCUUGUAAAUCCACCAAGAAAACAACAACAACAACAACAACUGCUCUUCAAGCUCUAAUCAUAGGACCACCUGUUGCUGGAACACAUUUAGGCAAACAGAUCUAGACAGGUGGUGGGAGGUGAUAAAUCCAUGGCGUAAAACAUGUUUCGGAGAAGUCGUAAGUAUGAUGAGACAGUGUAUAUAUUGGUCUUUGCAUCCCUAUCAAAAUCUAAGCUGAAUUUCCCUUAGUCUCUCCACUCAGGUCCAUCAUCACCUAUAACCCACUGCCGACAGGGCUAUAAUGAAUAAUGGUGGUCAAUGAAUUCUACUCCCAAAGAAAGCAACUAUUUGGGGAUGGAGGAACUCACCAAGGAGAAGUAACUCAAGAGGGGCCUUGAGUGUUUGGGAGGAUGGAGAGGCUGGAGUAGGCUGCCAGGAUGAUGACAUCCAUCUCCAGGCCAGACUAAGCGAAGUCAGAGUAAUAGAGGGCAGGUUGGUGUGGUGACGCCAAGGAGAGCAGGCAUUCACGUCUUUGCUGGGGGCCUGGGAAAAGUUCAUCUUUGAGUUCCACUGUUUCAACUGUCAUGGUGAUAAGCUCUCAAAGUGAAGAUCAGAGGUAAAUAUAUAAAUGUUCCAUUUCACUGCUGGCAAGCAGAAGGCAUCAAGGAAAUAAUAGCCAAGUUUAUUGUUACGCUUGAUCACUAAGGGGGGGGGCCCUUAAAAAAACUGAAUCCUUUCUAGAUCCUUUUGUUCACCUACGCAUCCUGCUUUGCACCAAAUCACAAAACAAGCUGAAUUCCGGUGGGGGCCAGCAAGUAACAGAGAUACCAUACCGUGGAUGCUACUGGGUUAAAUAGCUGAAAUACGGAGCAUCCACAAACUGGGUUUAGGAAAAAGAAAGAAGAAAACACCCAGGCACAGCUAGCGUGUUUGCAAGAGCUGCAGCAUUCAGUGGUGCCCAGCACACCCUGCUCAAGCUGGAGCAGUUACCCAGGGUCGAGAACAGAGUCCAGAGAAGGUAGAAACAACCUGUGUCCGUCAACAAACGGAAAGAGCAAGUGUGAGGAAAUUCUGACACACGCUACAACAUGGAUGAAUCUUGAAGUCUUAUGUUAACUUGCACGGAGAAGCCUCCGUUCACAUGCAAAUGCAGCUGGAAAUCAUACAAAUAUUUAACCAUCUUUUCUGAUACAAGAUUUCGACACUGAUGAUGAAGCCCCUGACUUCCGUUCAACAAACUUUGUUACCUGAGGUAAACCUCGGGAUCUGUUUUUUUCUGCAUAUGCCGCAUAGAUAGGAAUAUCCACUGCCCUCUUCUUUGAGAAAAUACCCAUGAGGCUCUUCUGUCAGGGUUUCGCGUCUCUCUUCAGAAUGGUUAAAGUAUGCUCAGUAAAAGGAUAAGAGUUUUAAACAAGUUGUUCAGUCAACUAAAGGAGCCCAUUUCACCACGCCCUCCCUAUGCAGCCUCUACAUCCAGUGGCCUCUUUCAAUCUACCUCAUACUAGAAACCUGUCUUGGCAAAUUAGCACGUGUUGCAGCUCUAUUUGUUCAUUUGACGGACCUGCAGUUACACUCAUAAGCUUCAGGGAAUUAAAGGGAGCACCGGAAUGUCAGCAUUUACAAAGCCAGGAGCCACUAGGCACACUCUCACAGAGAGCAAGCUUCCUCUAGAAAGACCUCAUAUUUUUCUCAAACCCUAAGAGAUGAAUAGUGGACUUUCUCACUGAAAGCCAACAAGCUUCAGAAUGACACAAGGGUCCAUUGGAGUCACCACACCUCUUCACAGGUUGAGGGGAAAAAAGGAGAAAUUUACUUGCCUGACUGACAUGACUGACAGUUGCGACAAUUCAUUAAGUAAAUCUUUCCAUUUUCCGACUUGCCCUGUGUAGGCAACAGUGAGGACUUUGCUUCUACUGCCAACCUUCAGAGGCAACACAGGUCCUCCCGGACCACCCGAGAUUUCAGCACAACUGAACGUGGUGUCUCCGUGAACUUCGUUCAGCUCAUAAUUGACUAACCACAAAAGACCAGCUAAAAUCACAGUAUCAGUGGGUUCCUCCGAUUGUAGUGACUGGUCUCAGCCUCGGCGUGAUCAGAAAAGGUCACCACAGAGCUGCUUCCCAAGCCAGUGAAAAACCACACGAUAACACAGAUGGAUUUUAAAGGAGGAAUCUUUUUUUCAACACGUCACUUCCUGUGCUUCAAAGAAAUGUUAUACAUGAACAAUUAAAAUCAUAUAUGAAAAAAUAAGCAAAGCUCCAAUAGGUUCCUGUUCUAUCAAAUUACAAUAAUUUUUAAAAGACAUUUAAAUUCCUGACUCUAUUUAAGAAUAACUACUUUAACUCCCAGCAAAUUAUAGGACUUUUUUGUGAUAUCAUUUAAUAAUUACUAAUAACAUUUUGACUUUAAUAUAGAAUAAAAAAUACACAGAUGAAAUUAAUAAUUACUACUAAGUGCAUUGGAGAGAUUUUUUCCAACUUUCCUUCAAAAUUUAAGUAAUUAGCCUUCUGGGUAAUAAUCUUUAGUCUUCCUAUUAUUAUUCAUUUGAUACUUUAAAGGUGCUAUGAGACUUCUAUUUCAAACAGAGAGGGUUAACUAUAACCUAAUAACCAUUUGCAGUAGCUUUCAUUAGUUACCAUGUUAUUUAUUAUUCAACGAGGACAUUUUUUUCAAGUAAAAAGGAUGCUAUUAAUUACACUAGGACAAAACGCUUGACCAGAACCCUCCUGGUCCAACAGGGACAUACGGUCACUCUACUUUUAGUGAAAGAAGGCUGGUCAAAAAGUUUAAUUUUUGCUUUAUAAGAGGAACAAAUAAAUGUAAGUGGGGAGACAAGAAAAACUGCCAGUAUGAUCAGAUAUUUUAAAAUGUAAAAUACUGGCAUUUGGGGGUGUCACCAUGUACUCUUCUUUGUCCCCUGACUAAUGGGGGUGGAGGCUCAAAGACCUGUGGCCAAAGUUUAAUUUUUGGCAAGACAUAUAUUGCAUUGGUUCUGCUAUGAUCCCGUUUACCCAAGCCAAAAAUUGGCUAAGGUAAUUCCAUCUGAUGGCAAACGCUUCCUGCAAGGAGAAUACACAAUACAGCAUAACCUGCAUUCCCCAGCCUUUCCCCCCACCCCGCCUUGUUCUCCCAGUUCCCACAAAGAACGAGGGACUACCUUCUUAAGAGGCCAGCGGGGGCUCCCUCCAGGCCACCAAGCUGAGCGCUGGCAGCAGGGGGAAGGGACAAGUGCCAAGUCCUAACAUUUUGCACGUGGACUGUGCUUUGUGACACAGACUAGACUAGAGGUGAGCACCCGCCCUCGUUUCAGCCUACAGGUGAGUUUUGUGUGGACACACCUUUGUGCCAGUCAGGAAACUGCUACCUCUCUGUCUUCAUGGCUUCUCAGAAGAAAGGAGUAACAUCCUAGAAAUGGGAAAAGGCCAAACCCAAAUAAGAAGCUACAAGAAAGAGACAGAAGGCAAUAAAGAAAAGAGAAAGUUGAACCCAGAGAUAGGAUGGAGACACUGUUUUGCGACACAGUUUUCUUCCAAAAUCUUAGAGGGAAGUUGAUUUCCAGAGAAUAUCUGAUCUGUCUUCCUGGCUCCAGACACUGCGUGUUUAAACAUCUCCAAGUUUUUGGAGGUGAGCCUCCUACAGAGUUUUC